GGCUUCGUAGCUUAGUUGGUAAAGCGCUCGUCUAGCAUACAAGAGUCCUGGGUUCAAAUCCCAGCCGAGCAC
This 72-nucleotide transfer RNA is filed under the name Aedes aegypti (yellow fever mosquito). It matches the Rfam family "tRNA". Rfam says of the family: Transfer RNA (tRNA) molecules are approximately 80 nucleotides in length. Their secondary structure includes four short double-helical elements and three loops (D, anti-codon, and T loops). Further hydrogen bonds mediate the characteristic L-shaped molecular structure. tRNAs have two regions of fundamental functional importance: the anti-codon, which is responsible for specific mRNA codon recognition, and the 3' end, to which the tRNAs corresponding amino acid is attached (by aminoacyl-tRNA synthetases). tRNAs cope with the degeneracy of the genetic code in two manners: having more than one tRNA (with a specific anti-codon) for a particular amino acid; and 'wobble' base-pairing, i.e. permitting non-standard base-pairing at the 3rd anti-codon position. The record is from Rfam by way of RNAcentral. Lineage: Eukaryota; Metazoa; Arthropoda; Insecta; Diptera; Culicidae.